CUCGGAAUCGCUAUUCGUCAAGCAAUGGUUUAUCGUUGCUUAGUAUAAAUUAAACAACUUUAUAUAUCCUAUAUCCUCAACUUUCCACUGUCGUACAGCAGCACACCCGUCUCUAAAUCAACUUUUUUUUUUAUACAUGGAACGGUGAUACUGAUAUAGACCAUUUCAGCCAUCGUUUAUCGGAGAAACUAAAUGGCCAAAGAAGUUUUUAUUUUUGUUCUAUAUUUA
This is a non-coding RNA of Cinara cedri, 228 nucleotides long. NCBI's taxonomy places the organism in Eukaryota, Metazoa, Arthropoda, Insecta, Hemiptera, Aphididae. The record is from the annotation of a GenBank genome assembly.